This is a long non-coding RNA of Macaca fascicularis (crab-eating macaque), 1359 nucleotides long. NCBI's taxonomy places the organism in Eukaryota, Metazoa, Chordata, Mammalia, Primates, Cercopithecidae. The record is from Ensembl.
UUUUUUUUAUUUUUAUUUUUUGUGAGACAGAGUCUCGCUCUGUUGCCCAGGCUGGAGUGCAGUGGCACAAACUCUGCUGGCUGCAAGCUCCACCUCCCAGGUUCACGCCAUUCUCCUGCCUCAGACUCCGGAGUAGCUGGACUACAGACGCCCGCCACCAUGCCUGGCUAAUUUUGUUUUCUGUAUUUUUAGUAGAGAUGGGGUUUCACCGUGUUAGCCAGGAUGUUCUUGAUCUCCUGACCUUGUGAUCUGCCCAUCUUGGCUUCCCAAAGUGCUGGGAUUACAGGUGUGAGCCACCAGGCCCAGCCUGUUUUUUUAAAAAAAUAGAAAUAGGGCCUCACUAUGUUUCUCAGGCAGGUAUCAAAUUCUUGGUUUCAAGCCGUCCUUCUGAUUUGGCCUCCCCAAGUGGGACGGAUUAGAAGAAUGAGCCACCUCGCCCACCUCAUUUUUGUUGUUGUUGUUGUUAUUUUGUUUUUGAGACAGGGUGUCUCUCUGUCACCCAAGCUGGAAUGCAGUGGCACCAUCACAGCUCACUGCGGCCUCAAACUCCUGGGCUCAAGCGAUCCUCCCACCUCAGCCUCCCAAGUAGCUUGGACUACAGGCAUGCACACAACACACUUCAUUUUUUAAAAUCUUUUUUUUUGUAAAGAUGGGGUCUCCCUUUGUUGCCCAGUCUGUAUUUUUCAUAGAGCCGGGGUUUCGCGAUGGUGGCCAGCCUGGUCUGGAACUCCUGAGCUCAAGUGAUCCUUUUGCCGCAGCCUCCCAAAGUGCUGGGAUUACAGGCGCAAGCCACUGUGCCUGGCCAGUAAUUUAAAUAAACACUAACAGAUGCACAGAGCUGUAGAAAUGGCAUUGCUAAACAAAAUGUUGUGAAUAAUCAAGUUAAACUCCCUAAUUUUACAGAUGAGGAAAGUCAGUCUUAAAAAUUAGACAAGCCGGGCCUGGCGGCUCAGUCCUGUAAUCCCAGCACUUUGGGAGGCGGAGGCGGGUGGAUCACCUGAGGUCAGGAAUUUGAGAGGAGCCUGACCAACAUGGAGAAAUCCCGUCUCUACUAAAAAUACAAAUUAACCGGGCGUGGUGGUGCAUGCCUGUAAUCCCAGCUACUCAGGAGGCUGAGGCAGGAGAAUCACUUCAACCCAGGAGGCAAAGAUUGCAGUGAGCCGAGAUCGUGCCAUUGCCCUCCAGCCAGGGCAUCAAGAGUGAAACUCUAUCUCAAACAAACAAACAAACAAACAAACUUAAACAGGCUUUUUCAUGGUCACACAGCUAGUUACUUUGAGAAUCAGGAAUGGAUCAUAGAUUCCCUGACUACUCUUGUUGCUCAGUUUUUUUUUUGUUUUUUUUGUUUUUUUUUUUUGA